CCUAGGACCUGUUCCUGGGCCACAC
Molecule: ribosomal RNA, 25 nt
Filed under: Frankliniella occidentalis (western flower thrips)
Lineage: Eukaryota; Metazoa; Arthropoda; Insecta; Thysanoptera; Thripidae
Description: partial 5.8S ribosomal RNA
Source: RNAcentral